Molecule: long non-coding RNA, 301 nt
Filed under: Androctonus crassicauda
Lineage: Eukaryota; Metazoa; Arthropoda; Arachnida; Scorpiones; Buthidae
Source: RNAcentral
AGUUAGACAUGAAGAGUUGGUCGGACACUGUAAUCUGUAAUAGUAUAUUCCAUUUACGACUCAAGAAGGAAGCCACGUCUAUAAAGAACUAUAGUGUCAUUGCUAAGGCGUUUAAAGGAUUAAUUUUAGAAACAGAGUUAAAAUUCGUUAGGAACAUGUCUACUGGGCAAGACAACGGCAGUAGUUCAGACCCACAGCAACAAGUUAGAUGUAACCCUAGCAUUGAUCAACUGAAGAAAUCAAAAAGGCUAGUUAAGUCAGCACUUACUAGAUAUCAUACUUAUGCAUUUAGUAACAAUGC